CCUACGGGUGGCAGCAGUGGGGAAUAUUGCACAAUGGGGGAAACCCUGAUGCAGCAACGCCGCGUGGGUGAAGAAGUAUUUCGGUAUGUAAAGCUCUAUCAGCAGGGAAGAGAAUGACGGUAACUGACUAAGAAGCUCCGGCUAACUACGUGCCAGCAGCCGCGGGAUUACGUAGGGGGCAAGCGUUAUCCGGAUUUACGGGGUGGAAAGGGAGCGGAGACGGUUGUGCAAGUCUGAAGUGAAAGCCCGCGGCUCAACUGCGGAACGGCUUUGGAAACUGGGGAACUGGAGUGCUGGAGAGGUAAGCGGAAUUCCUGGUGUAGCGGUGAAAUGCGUAGAGAUCAGGAGGAACACCAGAGGCGAAGGCGGCUUACUGGACAGUAACUGACGUUGAGGCUCGAAAGCGUGGGGAGCAAACAGGAUUAGAUACCCUAGUAGUC
RNAcentral lists this ribosomal RNA (440 nucleotides) under uncultured bacterium. Its description in RNAcentral is "partial 16S ribosomal RNA". It matches the Rfam family "Bacterial small subunit ribosomal RNA", at positions 338 to 795 of the family's 1533-position model. The record is from RNAcentral.